Molecule: ribosomal RNA, 508 nt
Filed under: uncultured bacterium
Lineage: Bacteria
Description: bacterial SSU rRNA
Rfam family: Bacterial small subunit ribosomal RNA
Source: RNAcentral
AUGGCUCAGAACGAACGCUGGCGGCGCGUUUAAGCAUGCAAGUCGAGCGGCAAGGGCCUUCGGGCCCCUAGAGCGGCGGACGGGUGAGUAACACGUGGACAAUCUGCCCCCCGGCCCGGGAUAGCCCAGGGAAACCUGGAUUAAUACCGGAUGAGACGGGACCCGCGAUGGCGGGACCCGGGAAAGGCGCUGCGGCGCCGCCGGGGGAUGAGUCUGCGUCCCAUUAGCUAGACGGCGGGGUAACGGCCCACCGUGGCGACGAUGGGUAGCCGGCCUGAGAGGGUGGACGGCCACAUUGGAACUGAGACACGGUCCAGACUCCUACGGGAGGCAGCAGCUAAGAAUCUUCCGCAAUGGGCGAAAGCCUGACGGAGCCGACGCCGCGUGAACGAAGAAGGCCGUGAGGUUGUAAAGUUCUUUUCGGGAGGGGAACAACCGUGGCAGGGAAUGGCCGCGGGAUGACGUGAAUCCCGGAAUAAGCCCCGGCUAACUACGUGCCAGCCGCAGC